CUGUAACUAUUUUUAAAUUUUAACUAUGAUCCAUUUCUUCCUUAGAAACAGGUGACUAUGCCCCUACUUCUCCAACAUAACUGUAUCUCACAUGUCAUCCUCUUAGAAGGGAUGAAGUUCUGCUGCUGUCACUGGUCUCUUGUCUACUAAGAUGAUCUGAGACUGACUUCCAACAGUGAGAAUAUUGCUAAUGAAAAGAGGAUGCUGUAGUCAGCAGUAUAGGUUUCUUAUUUAUGGGUGAAUGCAACCCUCAACUGAUUUCAUCUGCAAAGAAAAUGCUGACCUUCCAGUGUCUGAGAGGAGGUAACCCAGCUGGUGGAAAAUAGGAUAAUAAUUGGAUGCAUAGGUAUCAGAAUCAUUAAUGAUCUCUUCUGAAGGUGCUUUUAGAGCUUCGGAUUAAAAGUGCUGUAUAUCAUGGGGAAGAUACAA
Molecule: long non-coding RNA, 429 nt
Organism: Mustela erminea (ermine)
Lineage: Eukaryota; Metazoa; Chordata; Mammalia; Carnivora; Mustelidae
Exons: 3
Source: RefSeq, a predicted model, not a curated record